CAAAAGUUUUGUCCCAGCUUUUAAACCAACUAUUACCAACAUUAUACAUGCAAGCAUCCGCACACCUGUGAAAAAGCCCACAUAAAUUAGGAGCUGACAUUAGGCACAACAAAAGUUAGCCAACAACAUCUAGCUCAGUCACACCCCCAUGGGUACACAGCAGUAAUUAACAUUAAAAAAUGAGCACACAAACUCGAACUAGGUAUGGUAAACUGGGCUGGCUAAUCCCGUGCCAGCCGCCGCGGUUAUACGAGAAGCCCAAGUUGGUCUACCACGGCGUAAAGUGUGAUAAAGAAUUCAUCCACAACAUAAGACUAAAACUUAACUAAGCCGUUAUACGCACCAGUUAACACUAAACACAAUAAACGAAAGCAGUCUUAGUCUAAAGACUUUUCAUCAUCACAAAAACUAAGUCACAAACUGGGAUUAGAUACCCCACUAUGCUUAGUCAUAAAUUGAACAAUUACAAUCUAAUCCGCCAGAAUACUACGAGCAAACGCUUAAAACUCAAAGGACUUGGCGGUGCCCAAAACCCACCCAGAGGAGCCUGUUCUAUAAUCGAUAACCCCCGCUUAACCUCACCACCCUUUGCAUCUGCAGUCUAUAUACCUCCGUCUACAACUCACCCUAUUGAAGGAUAACCAGUGGGUAAAAUUAAUUAAUUAAAAACGUCAGGUCAAGGUGUAACAAAUAGGGUGGAAAGAAAUGGGCUACAUUCUCUUAUUAAGUGAAUACGGAAGCACUAAUGAAAAACCUGCUAGAAGGCGGAUUUGGUAGUAAAAAGAAACAAGCGAGUUCUUUUUAAAAUGGCCCUUGGGCGCGCACACACCGCCCGUCACCCUCUUCAACAUGAAAUUUAAAAUAAAUAAAACAAAAAUAACCUAAAGAAGAGGAAAGUCGUAACAAGGUAAGCGUACUGGAAAGUGCUCUUGGAAU
RNAcentral lists this non-coding RNA (936 nucleotides) under Uraeotyphlus cf. oxyurus MW-212. RNAcentral's name for it is "12S ribosomal RNA". It matches the Rfam family "Bacterial small subunit ribosomal RNA". Lineage: Eukaryota; Metazoa; Chordata; Amphibia; Gymnophiona; Ichthyophiidae. The record is from RNAcentral.